AACGAACGCUGGCGGCAGGCCUAACACAUGCAAGUCGAGCGAGCAUUUCGGUGCUAGCGGCGGACGGGUGAGUAACGCGUGGGAACGUGCCCUUUUCUGCGGAAUAGUCCUGGGAAACUGGGGGUAAUACCGCAUACGCCCUUUUGGGGAAAGAUUUAUCGGAGAAGGAUCGGCCCGCGUUGGAUUAGGUAGUUGGUGGGGUAAUGGCCCACCAAGCCGACGAUCCAUAGCUGGUUUGAGAGGACGAUCAGCCACACUGGGACUGAGACACGGCCCAGACUCCUACGGGAGGCAGCAGUGGGGAAUCUUAGACAAUGGGGGCAACCCUGAUCUAGCCAUGCCGCGUGAGUGAUGAAGGCCUUAGGGUUGUAAAGCUCUUUCAGCUGGGAAGAUAAUGACGGUACCAGCAGAAGAAGCCCCGGCUAACUCCGUG
RNAcentral lists this ribosomal RNA (433 nucleotides) under uncultured bacterium. RNAcentral describes it as "partial 16S ribosomal RNA". It matches the Rfam family "Bacterial small subunit ribosomal RNA", at positions 29 to 507 of the family's 1533-position model. The record is from RNAcentral.